GAUGAACGCUGGCGGCGUGCCUAAUACAUGCAAGUCGAGCGAACAGACGAGGAGCUUGCUCCUCUGACGUUAGCGGCGGACGGGUGAGUAACACGUGGAUAACCUACCUAUAAGACUGGGAUAACUUCGGGAAACCGGAGCUAAUACCGGAUAAUAUAUUGAACCGCAUGGUUCAAUAGUGAAAGACGGUUUUGCUGUCACUUAUAGAUGGAUCCGCGCCGCAUUAGCUAGUUGGUAAGGUAACGGCUUACCAAGGCAACGAUGCGUAGCCGACCUGAGAGGGUGAUCGGCCACCCUGGAACUGAGACACGGUCCAGACUCCUACGGGAGGCAGCAGUAGGGAAUCUUCCGCAAUGGGCGAAAGCCUGACGGAGCAACGCCGCGUGAGUGAUGAAGGUCUUCGGAGCGUAAAACUCUGUUAUUAGGGAAGAACAAAUGUGUAAGUAACUAUGCACGUCUUGACGGUACCUAAUCAGAAAGCCACGGCUAACUACGUG
Molecule: ribosomal RNA, 497 nt
Filed under: uncultured bacterium
Lineage: Bacteria
Description: partial 16S ribosomal RNA
Rfam family: Bacterial small subunit ribosomal RNA
Source: RNAcentral